CGAACGGGAUGCUUAGGCAUCUAGUGGCGGACGGGUGAGUAACGCGUGAGAAUCUGGCUCCAGGUCGGGGAUAACAGUUGGAAACGACUGCUAAUACCGGAUGUGCCGAGAGGUGAAAGAUUUAUUGCCUGGAGAUGAGCUCGCGUCUGAUUAGCUAGUUGGUGGUGUAAGGGACCACCAAGGCAUCGAUCAGUAGCUGGUCUGAGAGGAUGAUCAGCCACACUGGGACUGAGACACGGCCCAGACUCCUACGGGAGGCAGCAGUGGGGAAUUUUCCGCAAUGGGCGAAAGCCUGACGGAGCAAUACCGCGUGAGGGAGGAAGGCUCUUGGGUCGUAAACCUCUUUUCUCAAGGAAGAAGAAAGUGACGGUACUUGAGGAAUAAGCAUCGGCUAACUCCGUGCCAGCAGCCGCGGUAAUACGGAGGAUGCAAGCGUUAUCCGGAAUGAUUGGGCGUAAAGGGUCUGCAGGUGGAACUGAAAGUCUGCUGUUAAAGAGUUUGGCUUAACCAAAUAAAAGCGGUGGAAACUACAGAACUAGAGUGUGGUAGGGGCAAAAGGAAUUCCUGGUGUAGCGGUGAAAUGCGUAGAUAUCAGGAAGAACACCGGUGGCGAAAGCGUUUUGCUAGACCAUAACUGACACUGAGGGACGAAAGCUAGGGGAGCGAAUGGGAUUAGAUACCCCAGUAGUCCUAGCCGUAAACGAUGGAUACUAGGCGUGGCUUGUAUCGACCCGAGCCGUGCCGGAGCUAACGCGUUAAGUAUCCCGCCUGGGGAGUACGCACGCAAGUGUGAAACUCAAAGGAAUUGACGGGGGCCCGCACAAGCGGUGGAGUAUGUGGUUUAAUUCGAUGCAACGCGAAGAACCUUACCAAGACUUGACAUCCUGCGAAUCCUGGUGAAAGCUGGGAGUGCCUUCGGGAGCGCAGAGACAGGUGGUGCAUGGCUGUCGUCAGCUCGUGUCGUGAGAUGUUGGGUUAAGUCCCGCAACGAGCGCAACCCUCGUUCUUAGUUGCCAGCAUUAAGUUGGGCACUCUAGAGAGACUGCCCGGUGACAAACCGGAGGAAGGUGAGGAUGACGUCAAGUCAGCAUGCCCCUUACGUCUUGGGCUACGCACGUACUACAAUGCUACGGACAGAGGGCAGCGAGCCAGGGAUGGCAAGCGAAUCCAGAAACCGUAGCUCAGUUCAGAUCGAAGGCUGCAACUCGCCUUCGUGAAGGAGGAAUCGCUAGUAAUUGCAGGUCAGCAUACUGCAGUGAAUUCGUUCCCGGGCCUUGUACACACCGCCCGUCACACCAUGGAAGUUGGUCACGCCCGAAGUCAUUACCCCAACCGAAAGGAGGGGGAUGCCUAAGGUAGGACUGGUGACUGGGGUGAAGUCGUAACAAGGUAGCCGUACCGGAAGGUGUGGCUGGAUCACCUCCUUU
RNAcentral lists this ribosomal RNA (1427 nucleotides) under uncultured Cylindrospermopsis sp. Its description in RNAcentral is "bacterial SSU rRNA". It matches the Rfam family "Bacterial small subunit ribosomal RNA". The record is from RNAcentral. Lineage: Bacteria; Bacillati; Cyanobacteriota; Cyanophyceae; Nostocales; Aphanizomenonaceae.